AGUGCAAGAAGGGCCUUUGAGCCCCAGGCCCAGGAUGCCUGAUGCUGUGUGGAGGUGACACCUUCCAGCUCCCUCGGUGAUGCAGUGCUGGACCAAAACCUGCCCUGUGCAGCAAUGAUUGCGAGCCGUCUUCUCCCACGUGGCUGUGUUUGGCCCUGGUCCAUCAUCAAGUCAGUCCUACUGCUGUGAAAGCCAGGUUUCUGGACUCACACAGACUUGAAACCAAAGCCAGGCUUGACCACAGAUAGUUCGAGGCUCCAGGAUGUUCCUGAGAUGGCGAAGCUGGCAUCCCUCACGGUCUGAAGGCAGGGGAGGCCCUGAGCUAGCCAAGGAGACCUCACACUGGAACACGAUGAAACUGUCUGUCAGAUGAGGCAUUCUGUGCGCUCAUCCAUCAAAUCUGCACCCACCUCAGACCUAUAAUCCUGCAUAACCUUAUCCUUUAUUCCAGACUCUCCCAUCUCAGCUGGGCCCUCUUUCUCUCUGGCCCACACGGUGGUGGACAACCCCAAGUCCCAGGAACCAGGACACAUGUUGAAGGUCCUAGAAGUUACCACAUGGGAAUGAAUAAGGAAGAUGCAAAAUGUAGUGAAAGAGACCAGUCAUCUCCCACGGCUCUGCAAAGUGAGUCAUCUGAUGGCGCCAAGCUGCUCACGGCUUAUUAGACAGUAACACGGCGUGCACUCCAGAGCCUCCACUUCCAAACACAGCCAGUGGUGAGCGUGUUCUCGGAGUCACAAAGAUCACAUGCAGAGAGCCUUGGAGCAGGAGGGGAACCCAGAGGGCCUUGGAGAUCAGAGGCCCAGAGAGGGAAAGCGACCUGCCCAGGACCUCCUAGUAAACUGAUGAGACACGGUUUGAGAACCCUCUUUUUCGCCAGCCUGCACACCUCUGUCCUUAUGUUGCACACGCCCACGUGCCUCUGGCUGUCUUGGGGGCUCUGGAUUCGAUGGCUGGGCUUUCCCUCUCAAUGCAGGAGCCCUCAGUCGGUAAGCCUGCUCACCCCCUUGCUGAGCACCCCCUGGAAGCAAGAAAAUUGGAAAGAGACAGCUGGGCUGGAGUCUUAACUAUUUUAAUAACGUUUGGUACCAUGGCUGUUGCUGGGAGAUUAGCAGGGAAAUGUAACGGUGUGUAAUUUUUCCUAAGAAUUGCAUUAACAAAAUCAAAUGGGCAGAUGGAGGUGGAAGUUGGGGGGCAGGGAUAGAGCGCUUUCUGGAGGCUUCCUUGGGAGGGAGUUUCUAGGCUCAGGACCUCAGCAAAGCUCUGGGGUGUAAGUGAGAGCUUUCCUUGGGCCAUCUCUCAUCUUUCCUAUCCCUGCCUGUCCUCCAUGUGGGAGGAGAGGCAAGGCAGGGGAAAGAGAAGAAGGACUGGGUUCAAAUUUCUAUCCUGCUGCUUUCUCACGGGGGGGGGGGGGGGGNNGGGGGGGGCUUAGAUAAGUGGCUUUACCUCUCUUGAGUGUGUGCUUCCUUGCCUGUAGCUAGGGGUAGCCAUGCAAGGCUCUUCCAGGGAUCAGGAUGCUAAGCGUGGUGUCUGAUGCAGAGUGGCCUGGGAUGGACGCCUGUCUGGUUAACUCUCCAAAUGUCCACUCUCUGGCCCACCCAGAUCAUACCAUCUACCUCUCAUGCUCCACUUUCUAUAGCAGGAGGCUUCUCUGCAUGUCAGGCCAGGGCUGCGGCCAAGGACAAGGCCAGAGAAGGCAGGACCUCUUUCCUGCAUACAGGGAGCUGAGAAGGCCAGGCAUUCACAUCUACUUUUCUUCAGCCUGGCAGCAGAUUUAAGACACUACAGAGUGUGCUCUCAGCCAGAAUCACCCGAUCUGUCUCAAAAACCCUGAGAGAAAGGGGGCUACUGGGCCCCAUUUUACAGAUGGGGAAACUGAGGCUCGGACAGAUUGUCAGCAGGUCAGUAGCAGAAUUAAAAAUGGAGCAGAAAUACCAGAUGGGAAAUCCCAAAUUCUUCUUGCAACAUUCCUUUGUCAUAUAUCUUCCAUCCAACUUUUUACACAUUUUCUCAUUUUCUCUUUGGUUUGCUUUUGCACCAUCAACUAGACUGUAAGCUGCUUGAGGGUAGACCUUUGUGCUUACCCACUACGUUUCAUGAGACUUGGCACACAGCAUGUGCUCAGGUAAGACAUCAAAUUAAAUGGGCAGAGACCUGGUGAGGUACUAUUUCCUUAGUAAGUCCAGGCUCCGAGUUGUCCCUUUCUCCCACACUCCAGCCUACAUACACACACGCCACACACACAUGCCACGCACGCAUACACGGCUUGCAGAAUCUAAUAACAACCAGUUUAAAAACAUACUAAAAACAGAAAAUUUAUGUAGCAUGACCCAAAUUGAAUUAUACAUUACAGCACUAUAAUUGAUUUUUUAGAAGGAGAUUAAAUUUAUUUUAUGCCUCACUAACUAACAGCUAGAUUUACCUAAUUGCUUGGAGUGCAGAGUUAGUAUGAUUCAUUAAACUCCAUACAUGCUUGGGUACACUGCGCACUGAGUAAGCUUCCCUGCUCGCAGCAAUUAACCAGGAGAAACCCGAGGCGGCACCAGUAAUUGACGAGAACAAUUCAGCCUGAAGUUUGCUCUGGGUGUUUUAUUAAGUUCUUUGAGCAAAAUGCAGAUACUGAGCAUUCCAGUAAAGCGGUUCCAA
This 2646-nucleotide long non-coding RNA is filed under the name Sus scrofa (pig). RNAcentral describes it as "lncRNA (ENSSSCG00060012570.1)". The record is from RNAcentral. Lineage: Eukaryota; Metazoa; Chordata; Mammalia; Artiodactyla; Suidae.